Molecule: ribosomal RNA, 393 nt
Filed under: uncultured bacterium
Lineage: Bacteria
Description: bacterial SSU rRNA
Rfam family: Bacterial small subunit ribosomal RNA
Source: RNAcentral
GACGAACGCUGGCGGCGUGCCUAACACAUGCAAGUCGACUUGAGGGAAGGAGCAAUCUGACCUGAUGGUGGCGCAAGGGUGCGUAACGCGUAAGUAACUUGCCCAAGGUAAGGAAUAACGUCGAGAAAUCGGCGCUAAUACCUCAUAAUGCAGCGGAUCCGCAUGGAUAUGUUGUUAAAGGUUUACCGCCUUGGGAUAUGCUUGCGUCUGAUUAGCUAGUUGGUGUGGUAAUGGCACACCAAGGCUACGAUCAGUAACUGGUCUGAGAGGAUGAUCAGUCACACUGGAACUGAGACACGGUCCAGACUCCUACGGGAGGCAGCAGUGAGGAAUAUUGGGCAAUGCACGAAAGUGUGACCCAGCAACGCCGCGUGGACGGAUGAAGGUAUCUAU